GAAGGUGUUAGCACCCAAAGUGUCCUAGGUACUCCUAGGGAGCCCUUUUUGUGUGCAUAUGUAUUUUGUACAAAGUGAUGUUUACAAACAAAUAGAAUGGGGGGAUGAGAAAAGAAUUCAUUAAUUAUAUUUUUGUGUUUGACAAGACCUUCAGUCUUGUGCCUACGUACCAACAUAAAAAUGAGGCACAAAGGCCUAAAAUGGUUUGAAUGAGUUAG
RNAcentral lists this long non-coding RNA (218 nucleotides) under Lathyrus oleraceus (garden pea). RNAcentral describes it as "Pisum sativum (pea) long non-coding RNA (PSAT_LNC029595)". The record is from RNAcentral. Lineage: Eukaryota; Viridiplantae; Streptophyta; Magnoliopsida; Fabales; Fabaceae.